UGAGGAAUCUUCCACAAUGGGCGAAAGCCUGAUGGAGCGACACCGCGUGAAGGAUGAAGGCUUUGUUGUUGUAAACUUCUUUUCUCUGGGAAGAUAAUGACGGUACCAGAGGAAUAAGGGACGGCUAACUACGUGCCAGCAGCCGCGAUAAUACGUAGGUCCCAAGCGUUAUCCGGAAUUACUGGGUGUAAAGCGUCUGUAGGCGGACUUGUAAGUUUCAUAUGAAAGACCGGAGCUCAACUCCGUGUUUGUAUGAAAAACUGCAAGCCUAGAAUUAGGGAGAGGUAAACGGAAUGGUAAGAGUAGAGGUGCAAUUCGUAGAUACUUACCAGAACACCAAAAGCGAAGGCAGUUUACUGGAACUAUAUUGACGCUGAGAGACGAAAGCGUGGGGAGCGAAAAGG
Molecule: ribosomal RNA, 404 nt
Filed under: uncultured bacterium
Lineage: Bacteria
Description: bacterial SSU rRNA
Rfam family: Bacterial small subunit ribosomal RNA
Source: RNAcentral